GAUCCUCAUCAUCCUCUUCUGUGCACUAAUAUGUGCUCUAGCUCUCAACACAGCCAUCCGCUGCUUCUUACGCGGCCGCCAUCACCCACCAGACCGUCUUCCCCAAAAUCGACGAGAACUUGAUGAGCAGCGGAAACCCAACACUGAAGCAGGUGCAGCGCCAUUGGUGGUGGGUUUCCGCUGCUCAUCAAGUUCUCGUAAGCUGGGCGGAGAAGAGGCUGAGUGCGCCAUCUGCUUGUCGGAGUUCGUGGAGGGUGAAG
RNAcentral lists this unclassified non-coding RNA (260 nucleotides) under Hevea brasiliensis (rubber tree). The record is from RNAcentral. Lineage: Eukaryota; Viridiplantae; Streptophyta; Magnoliopsida; Malpighiales; Euphorbiaceae.